UCAGGACAUCUCUCAGGAUCAACUGCCAAUGGGUCCUAUUUUUUAACAUUUCUGUGACAUUCAACAGACUUCUACUAUGCUCUACCAAGCAUUCUGUUACACAGGUUUCAAAGGUUACAUUGAUUGUUAUAGAGAUUAAGGGUCAAAGCCUGAUUCUGUUCAAGUCAGUGAGAAUACACCUUUUCAUCAUCCAAUUGUGUUGCUUUGUGAAUGUCAAUUAAAACGUGAUGCUGUGGAAGAUAUGAAGAUGUCAUUUUAUUCUUACUUUGGAACAGAAAUCCAUGUAAUGGAGAGAAAAAACAGAAGGGAAAUGAGGAAUCCAAACAUAAAUUAAUACAUGCCUAAAAUUGAUGCUUGCCAUCUAACAUUACUGUGCAUAUGGCAGGAGUGCACAAGAAAAAAAAAACAUCCCCAAAAAGCUGAUGCAGCUGAACAAGGAGGUGAAAAUAGUUGUAAGGGUAAAAAGGUAGGAUAUAAGCCUUCAGCUAGGAAGGAUCACUGGAAAUGUUAUGAAAUGAACAGAGGAACUGGAACAAGCUGAUGAGAACUGCAAAGAUGAAAAUGGAAAGACUGAAAGAUAAAGGAAACCAUAAAACUUUUUUUAUUAAUUAAGUGCUUAUAGACAAAUUGAAGUACAGUAUACAUCAGUGAACACCUCCAAUUCUAAACAUAUCCCUGGGUGAUUGUAAAGUCCCCAUAGUGAUGUCCAGAAAGAAUCUGCAAAUUAAUGUUUUUGUUGGGAUAGAUGACUUCACCAGUGGAGACUGAGGCCCUGAUCCUUCAAGAACAUAAGCCUGUGCUUAACUUAAGGGGUGUUAUUGAAGCCAAUAUGUCCACUCACAUGCUUAAAGAUAAACAUGUGCAUGAGUGUUUGCAGACUGGGGUAAGUGACCCUACAAAGAAUUUGUUUGCUUUACAAUUAGGGUUGUGCUCCAUUUUGCUCCUUCAUAAGGUAUAAAAAGGUGUGAAUAUUGGUUUUAUUUACUAUUUUCUUCUGAUGUUUUUAACAUUAGAAAUAUCAGAGGAAUGUUAAGUCUGACCUUCCCUGCUUUUGCUGGAAGACUUCAAGGUAACUUAAUG
Molecule: long non-coding RNA, 1080 nt
Organism: Chelonia mydas (Green sea turtle)
Lineage: Eukaryota; Metazoa; Chordata; Testudines; Cheloniidae
Exons: 3
Source: RefSeq, a predicted model, not a curated record